UAGAUCAAGAUUUUCCAAAACCGAGCCUAGAUCGGGGCAAAGCCAAGCAAUCCGAUUAAGCCAACUAGUCAAGUACUUUUUGUAAACCGAGGUAAGUUGUAUGUAAAUAAUACAACUAUAUUAUUAAUGCAUGUAUUCGAUUGUUAUUGAUUUGAUAUAGCAUAAAUUUCUAGAAUUGGAACUAAGUAUAUGUAUUUAUGAUUG
Molecule: long non-coding RNA, 204 nt
Filed under: Gossypium barbadense (sea-island cotton)
Lineage: Eukaryota; Viridiplantae; Streptophyta; Magnoliopsida; Malvales; Malvaceae
Description: long non-coding RNA (GBAR_LNC000218)
Source: RNAcentral